GACGAACGCUGGCGGCGUGCUUAACACAUGCAAGUCGAACGGAAAGGCCUUGCAUUUGUGGGGUGUUCGAGUGGCGAACAGGUGUGUGUAACGUGUGUAAACUGCCCCUUACUUUGGGAUAACUUAAGGAAACUGGGGCUCAUAUAGGGUAUGAGCACCUGCUGCAUAGUGGUUGUGGGAAAGAUACGGCGGUUUGUGAUGGACACGCGGCUUAUCAGUUUGUUGGUGGGGUAGUGGCUUACAAGGGCUUUGACGGGUAGCCGGCCUGAGAGUGUGACCGGCCACAAUGGGACUGAGGUACGGCCCAGACGCCAACUUGAGGAAGCGGUGGAGAAUAUUGCGCAAUGGGCGGAGGCCGGAUGCAGCGACGUCGGGUGCUAGAUAACGGCCUUUAGGGUGUAAACCGCUUUCGACUGUAACGAACAGUGAGUGACGGUAAUGAGUAAGAAAGCAACGGCUAACUACGUG
Molecule: ribosomal RNA, 468 nt
Filed under: uncultured bacterium
Lineage: Bacteria
Description: partial 16S ribosomal RNA
Rfam family: Bacterial small subunit ribosomal RNA
Source: RNAcentral